AAUAUUAAUUUAGAAUAACAUGUGGCACUCACUGGUAUGAUGAUGUGUCACUCAUAUGGAGAGAGUUGGCCAACUUUCAUAUAUAUGAUUCCAAGAUUGAAGCUCUUAUACUCUAAUCCUUAAUAGUU
This 128-nucleotide small RNA is filed under the name Arabidopsis thaliana (thale cress). RNAcentral's name for it is "ATSL266630". The record is from RNAcentral. Lineage: Eukaryota; Viridiplantae; Streptophyta; Magnoliopsida; Brassicales; Brassicaceae.